AGAAUCAACGCUGGCGGCGUGCCUAACACAUGCAAGUCGAACGAGAAAGUGGAGCAAUUCACAAGUAAAGUGGCGCACGGGUGAGUAACACGUGACUAACCUACCCUUGAGUGGGGGAUAACCUAGGGAAACCUGGGCUAAUACCGCAUAAUACCUACGGGUCAAAGGAGCAAUUCGCUUAAGGAGGGGGUCGCGGCCGAUUAGUUAGUUGGCGGGGUAAUGGCCCACCAAGACGAUGAUCGGUAUCC
RNAcentral lists this ribosomal RNA (248 nucleotides) under uncultured bacterium. RNAcentral's name for it is "partial small subunit ribosomal RNA". It matches the Rfam family "Bacterial small subunit ribosomal RNA", at positions 26 to 288 of the family's 1533-position model. The record is from RNAcentral.